This 68-nucleotide transfer RNA is filed under the name Vespa mandarinia (Asian giant hornet). Its description in RNAcentral is "tRNA-Ala". RNAcentral also lists the same sequence under 1 other name. Lineage: Eukaryota; Metazoa; Arthropoda; Insecta; Hymenoptera; Vespidae. The record is from RNAcentral.
AGGGUAUUAGUUAAAAAAUAACAUUUAUUUUGCAAAUAAAAAUUAAAAUUAAUUAAAUUUAUAUCUUU